ACGAAGGGGGCGAGCGUUGUUCGGAAUCACUGGGCGUAAAGGGCGCGUAGGCGGCGGAUCAAGUCAGGCGUGAAAGCCCCGGGCUCAACCUGGGAACUGCCUUUGUGACUGCAAGGCUGGAGUGCGGCAGAGGGGGAUGGAAUUCCGCGUGUAGCAGUGAAAUGCGUAGAUAUGCGGAGGAACACCGAUGGCGAAGGCAAUCCCCUGGGCCUGCACUGACGCUCAUGCACGAAAACGUGGGGAGCAAACAGGA
Molecule: ribosomal RNA, 253 nt
Filed under: uncultured prokaryote
Description: partial 16S ribosomal RNA
Rfam family: Bacterial small subunit ribosomal RNA
Source: RNAcentral